This 924-nucleotide ribosomal RNA is filed under the name Scytonema sp. KH19. RNAcentral describes it as "bacterial SSU rRNA". It matches the Rfam family "Bacterial small subunit ribosomal RNA", at positions 469 to 1392 of the family's 1533-position model. The record is from RNAcentral. Lineage: Bacteria; Bacillati; Cyanobacteriota; Cyanophyceae; Nostocales; Scytonemataceae.
UUGAAAGUACUUGAGGAAUCGGCAUCGGCUAACUCCGUGCCCGCAGCCGCGGUAAUACGGAGGAUGCAAACGUUUUCCGGAAUGAUUGGGCGUAAAAGGUCCGCAGGUGGCAGUGAAAAUCUGCUGUUUAAAAGUCUGGCUCAACCCGAUAAAGGCAGUGGAAACUACACAGCUAGAGUACGUUUGGGGCAGAGGGAAUUUCUGGUGUAGCGGUGAAAUGCGUAGAGAUCAGGAAAAACACCGGUGGCGAAAACGCUCUGCUAGGACUGUACUGACGCUGAGGGACGAAAACUAGGGGAGCGAAUGGGAUUUGAUACCCCCGUAGUCCUAGCCGUAAACGAUGGAUACUAGGCGUUGCGCGUAUCGACCCGCGCAGUGCCGGAGCUAACGCGUUUAGUAUCCCGCCUGGGGAGUACGCAGGCAACUGUGAAACUCAAAAGAAUUGACGGGGGCCCGCACAAACGGUGGAGUAUGUGGUUUUAUUCGAUGCAACGCGAAAAACCUUUCCCGGACUUGACAUGUCGCGAAUUGAGGUGAAAACUUUUAGUGCCUUCGGGAGCGCGAACACAGGUGGUGCAUGGCUGUCGUCAGCUCGUGUCGUGAGAUGUUGGGUUUAGUCCCGCAACGAGCGCAACCCUCGUUUUUUGUUGCCCGCAUUUUGGAUGGGCACUCGAAAAAAACUGCCGGUGACAAACCGGAGGAAAGUGGGGAUGACGUCAAAUCAGCAUGCCCCUUUCGUCCUGGGCUACACACGUACUACAAUGCUGUGGACAAUGGGCAGCAAACAGGCAACUGCAAACAAAUCUCAUAAACCCUGGCUCAGUUUUGAUCGAAGGCUGCAACUCGCCUUUGUGAAAGUGGAAUCGCUAGUAAUUGCAGGUCAGCAUACUGCAGUGAAUUUGUUCCGGGGCCUUGUACACACCG